GGGCUGUGUGAGGACACAGUGUGUGAUGUAAGAUGCUUGUACAUAUUUUUGUUGACACAUUUCAUCGUUGACAUUAGUUAACUGCUAAUUAAUUAUUUUGUGCGCGUCUUUUAAAAGGCCGCGGUGUUGGCUAGAGUUUUAUGCGUUUUUUAAAUAAGCGUUUUGUUUUUUGUUUUUUUAAAAUGAAGCGUCAUCAGUUUCCGGGGAAAGUCCGCCAGCAUUUCGCUUUCAAUUCAGAUGCGACGGCACGAUUUAAAUGUAAACCAGUGUAAUUGUUUUACAUUUUAUUACAAAACGUAAAAAUAAUUAAUAUCGACUGGACUGUUUGUAUAUAAGAAGCUGGAUUCGGGAAGCUGCAAGAACAAAACUGACCACAGCGAUGAACGCAAAUCGGAGUUACUGCUUUAAUUCAUAUAUGGAUGGAUUUUUUUUUCAUCUUUUAUGCGGAAUAUAUUGAUGGAGGCACAUGUUGAGGAUGAUCUUCAGUGGAUCAAAAGUAGCCCUGGCAUGGUUCACCUCUACAUCGAAGAUCAGACAAAGGAAGGACAGAGUCUGAUGGUUGUCUAUCGACAAAGGAACUAUGCCUUCAGCAAAGAAGGAAACAGACAAAGACAUGUCUAGAAAAAUAUAUGUUCAUUUCAACAUACAGAAAAAUGAAGUCUGCAGUCUGUGCUUAUAGUUUCACAUCUUUUUUUGCGUGUAUGUGUGUGUGUGGUUUAUUUCCCAGAUGGUAUUCCAGUCUCGGGUUUGAAACCACAGAAGCUCGCACACCCUCUUUGUAUCUUCAUGGUGUAGCUUUUGACUGUUUAAAACACGAUGUGUUUAAACUUCUGCUGCUGAUGCCGUAUUGUCGCGGGACUUCGUACUCGCAAAAAGUCAUGAACUACAACAUCGUAAACCGAACAAAAGGUGUUAUGCAUGAGCAGCUGUCAUCGGGGGGUGUCAUCAACCUGACCUCUUUUGGAUUAGUUAAUGAUUAUUUGUUUAUUAUGUAGUCGAGUUGUUGCGUGACACCUCGCGUGUAGCCAUUUUUUUUUAAAUGACAGAAAAAGCUGUAUGCAAAAGACCUCGCUAACGUGUAACUCAAAGCUGCUUUGUUUCAGUGAAGCCAAUCAUGUUCUUCUACUAUGUUUUGGACAGCAUCACUACAUAAAGUUAUUUUGUGCUUUUUUUAUUAUAUUAUACUAUAUUAUAAUUUCCUAUACUUUAUCUAGUCAUUAAUGUCGGUAACUGCACUAACAGCUGCAGGUCAUUUUCACAGGUGUUUGAUUUCAAAGGACUAAGGAAACAUUGUUGUAUUUCCGAACUCCCAUUGAACUACACUUUUAUACGUUUAUCAGCACGUUGGAGGCCAUAGCAGCUGUCACAGGGUGAGAGGUGGGGUACAUUCUGGAAAAACUGUCAGAAGCUUUUAAGAUAACUGUAGAUUUUGGAAUCACCUGUAAUUGUUUCUAAUUGAUU
This is a long non-coding RNA of Astatotilapia calliptera (eastern happy), 1461 nucleotides long. The record is from Ensembl. Lineage: Eukaryota; Metazoa; Chordata; Actinopteri; Cichliformes; Cichlidae.